RNAcentral lists this ribosomal RNA (223 nucleotides) under uncultured bacterium. Its description in RNAcentral is "partial 16S ribosomal RNA". It matches the Rfam family "Bacterial small subunit ribosomal RNA", at positions 328 to 539 of the family's 1533-position model. The record is from RNAcentral.
ACGCUCGACACCUACGGGAGGCAGCAGUAGGGAAUUUUCGUCAAUGGGGGGAACCCUGAACGAGCAAUGCCGCGUGAGUGAAGAAGGUCUUCGGAUCGUAAAGCUCUGUUGUAAGAGAAAAACGGACUCCAUAGGGAAUGAUGGAGGAGUGAUGGUAUCUUACCAGAAAGCCACGGCUAACUACGUGCCUGCAGCCGCGGUAAUCUGAGCGGGCUGGCAAGGC